RNAcentral lists this ribosomal RNA (781 nucleotides) under Escherichia coli. RNAcentral's name for it is "partial 23S ribosomal RNA". It matches the Rfam family "Bacterial large subunit ribosomal RNA", at positions 451 to 1230 of the family's 2925-position model. The record is from RNAcentral. Lineage: Bacteria; Pseudomonadati; Pseudomonadota; Gammaproteobacteria; Enterobacterales; Enterobacteriaceae.
GACCAUCCUCCAAGGCUAAAUACUCCUGACUGACCGAUAGUGAACCAGUACCGUGAGGGAAAGGCGAAAAGAACCCCGGCGAGGGGAGUGAAAAAGAACCUGAAACCGUGUACGUACAAGCAGUGGGAGCACAGAGCAAUCUGUGUGACUGCGUACCUUUUGUAUAAUGGGUCAGCGACUUAUAUUCUGUAGCAAGGUUAACCGAAUAGGGGAGCCGAAGGGAAACCGAGUCUUAACUGGGCGUUAAGUUGCAGGGUAUAGACCCGAAACCCGGUGAUCUAGCCAUGGGCAGGUUGAAGGUUGGGUAACACUAACUGGAGGACCGAACCGACUAAUGUUGAAAAAUUAGCGGAUGACUUGUGGCUGGGGGUGAAAGGCCAAUCAAACCGGGAGAUAGCUGGUUCUCCCCGAAAGCUAUUUAGGUAGCGCCUCGUGAAUUCAUCUCCGGGGGUAGAGCACUGUUUCGGCAAGGGGGUCAUCCCGACUUACCAACCCGAUGCAAACUGCGAAUACCGGAGAAUGUUAUCACGGGAGACACACGGCGGGUGCUAACGUCCGUCGUGAAGAGGGAAACAACCCAGACCGCCAGCUAAGGUCCCAAAGUCAUGGUUAAGUGGGAAACGAUGUGGGAAGGCCCAGACAGCCAGGAUGUUGGCUUAGAAGCAGCCAUCAUUUAAAGAAAGCGUAAUAGCUCACUGGUCGAGUCGGCCUGCGCGGAAGAUGUAACGGGGCUAAACCAUGCACCGAAGCUGCGGCAGCGACGCUUAUGCGUUGUUGGGUA